Molecule: transfer RNA, 77 nt
Filed under: Mediterraneibacter torques
Lineage: Bacteria; Bacillati; Bacillota; Clostridia; Lachnospirales; Lachnospiraceae
Also listed under: 1 other name
Description: [Ruminococcus] torques tRNA-Val(tac)
Rfam family: tRNA
About the family: Transfer RNA (tRNA) molecules are approximately 80 nucleotides in length. Their secondary structure includes four short double-helical elements and three loops (D, anti-codon, and T loops). Further hydrogen bonds mediate the characteristic L-shaped molecular structure. tRNAs have two regions of fundamental functional importance: the anti-codon, which is responsible for specific mRNA codon recognition, and the 3' end, to which the tRNAs corresponding amino acid is attached (by aminoacyl-tRNA synthetases). tRNAs cope with the degeneracy of the genetic code in two manners: having more than one tRNA (with a specific anti-codon) for a particular amino acid; and 'wobble' base-pairing, i.e. permitting non-standard base-pairing at the 3rd anti-codon position.
Source: RNAcentral
UGGGAUCUUAGCUCAGCUGGGAGAGCAUCUGCCUUACAAGCAGAGGGUCACAGGUUCGAGCCCUGUAGGUCCCAUCC